This 526-nucleotide long non-coding RNA is filed under the name Mus pahari (shrew mouse). Its description in RNAcentral is "lncRNA (MGP_PahariEiJ_G0002349.1)". Lineage: Eukaryota; Metazoa; Chordata; Mammalia; Rodentia; Muridae. The record is from RNAcentral.
GGGGAAGGAAUCCAUCAUCACCACUGAAACCACAUUAGCUUUCUGCCCUCUGCUACAGAUGUGUCUGACGUGGACCUCGGGAUGCUGGCAGGGCCAGGCUCCUUCUGGAGACAGUAAAGAUGGCCCAUUCCUUGUUCAUACAGCGGUGUUGGCUGAAGGUCACCCUAACUACUGAGGGCUGCCUACCUUCCUCACUCUGUUCCCCUUCCUGGUCAUCAAAGACAUCAAGGGCCCUGAGCAUAUUAGACAAGCCCACAAGACCCAUCUUUGCAGGCUUAUGGGAUACUAGCCAGGUUGCUAGACAGACCUGCAAGCCCACACACCUGGCACAAGAGGACAGAGAGUCCAAGAGAGUCCAAGAGGCAGUAUGCAGGUGUCCAGCUGCUCAUAUGAAGAGCUCUGGGAAGAGCUGAUAGUAGCCCAGGUCCACCUCUGGACCUGGAGGGCCCAGGCCUGGCCAAACUCUUCCCAGUGCCUCUGGCUGUGCUUUCCCUUAUAUCUACAAUAAAACCUUCCCCUUAACCAU